RNAcentral lists this ribosomal RNA (253 nucleotides) under uncultured bacterium. Its description in RNAcentral is "partial 16S ribosomal RNA". It matches the Rfam family "Bacterial small subunit ribosomal RNA", at positions 524 to 776 of the family's 1533-position model. The record is from RNAcentral.
UACGAAGGGGGCUAGCGUUGCUCGGAAUCACUGGGCGUAAAGCGCACGUAGGCGGCUUUUUAAGUCAGGGGUGAAAUCCUGGAGCUUAACUCCAGAACUGCCUUUGAUACUGAGAAGCUUGAGUCCGGGAGAGGUGAGUGGAACUGCGAGUGUAGAGGUGAAAUUCGUAGAUAUUCGCAAGAACACCAGUGGCGAAGGCGGCUCACUGGCCCGGUACUGACGCUGAGGUGCGAAAGCGUGGGGAGCAAACAGG